Molecule: ribosomal RNA, 529 nt
Filed under: uncultured bacterium
Lineage: Bacteria
Description: bacterial SSU rRNA
Rfam family: Bacterial small subunit ribosomal RNA
Source: RNAcentral
AGAGUUUGAUUAUGGCUCAGGAUGAACGCUGGCGGCGUGCCUAAUACAUGCAAGUCGAACGAGGUGGAAGGGAGCUUGCUCCUGGAUACCGAGUGGCGAACGGGUGAGUAACACGUAGGUAACCUGCCCUUAAGCUUGGGAUACCCAGAGGAAACUUUGGCUAAUACCGGAUAACAACAGAGGAGGCACCUCCUUUGCUUGAAAGGCCCUUCAAAGGGUCACUUAAGGAUGGACCUGCGGCGCAUUAGCUAGUUGGUGAGAUAAAAGCCCACCAAGGCGAGGAUGCGUAGCCGACCUGAGAGGGUGAUCGGCCACAUUGGAACUGAGACACGGUCCAAACUCCUACGGGAGGCAGCAGUAAGGAGUUUUCGGCAAUGGGGGAAACCCUGACCGAGCAACGCCGCGUGAGUGAUGACGGCCCUAUGGGUUGUAAAGCUCUGUUGUAAGGGACGAACGAUCGUUUAGGAAAUGAAACGGUUCUGACAGUACCUUACCAGAAAGCCACGGCUAACUACGUGCCAGCCGCCGC